AGUCUUAUAUUCAAAUUAUGAUUUUAAAUUGCAAAUUUAAAGGUAGAUAAAUCUUAAGGCUU
Molecule: transfer RNA, 62 nt
Filed under: Scirtidae sp. GENSP02
Lineage: Eukaryota; Metazoa; Arthropoda; Insecta; Coleoptera; Scirtidae
Description: tRNA-Cys
Source: RNAcentral